GGAACUGAUCAUAAUAACAAUUACAGUAAUAGCAGUAGCCAAUUUUAAAAUGUUCUUGUUAUAUCUUAGAUAUUUCAAUAAACCCUCUAUAUAUGCUUAUAUCAUUUAAUAAUCAUAGGAAUCCUAUACUAUAGAUGGUUUCAUAUGACUACCAGAAACAGAAUUCAAAAAUGACAUCUAAUUUUCCUGUGGUUAAGAUUCUGCUAAAUAGUGAAGCUGAAAUUGACAUCCAGUCUUUCUGACUUUGUUUCCCUGGUGAGUAAGGACAUUCAUAUUACACUGACCUGGAAGGUCUCCUAGAUAUAUUGAAUUAAGCUAAGCUUUGUCUUGUUGAUUCCAGAGCUGCAGACUAGACUAGCUUAUAUUACCAGGUACCAGACAGGGUCCUGACUUCCUACUGGAUGAGAAAUGAUAGAAUCAUAUUAGGCAAUCAAACUGUAAGCAUUUCCACUCAAAGGGAAAUUUGUUGAAGACAUAGGGGACUGGAGAUCCAUCACAUUGGAAUUCAGCAGCAAGGGCAAGAGAUCUAGGCUAUGGUAAUAAGUUGCAGACCAAGGGGAUAUCUGUAAAGUGGUGAUUUAAUUAAAGAUAGCAAGCAAAGAUUCACUCCCCUCCCCAGUCCACCCUGCUGCUACUGACACAGGCAAGUGGCCAGGCUUUGGUGGAUGGGUGACAACCAAUGUCAAUCACAGAGGCUUCAGAGGAGAUUUUCAGGGACUUUCUGUCUGAACUCCCUUCUGCUUAAAAUCUCAUACUUGACUCCUACAUUUAUUAUGCCACAAGAUGUCAGACAGGAACUAUAAGGCAUGACGAGGGCCAGAUAUCAGAGAAUGUGGAAGCAGAGUUUCCUGAGAGCACAGUCCCCUGCUGAGGGUGGCACCUCCUCUUCACUGAAAGUUAUGGCUACAGAUGGCUCUUUUCAUCCAGCAAGAAAAUCGGACUUCAAGAUACCUCUGCGAACUCUGAACUAGUAAGAAAAGGAAUGAUUUCAUAUCGCUUCUAGUCAAAACAUUCCAAACUUGUUGUUCAAAUAAAGCCCUGGUAUUUCUGGUUGGAAAGCUGAAUGGUAUGCUAAUGCCACUUCUUCCAGGAAGCCUUCUACAAUAGCUUUCUGGGGUUGUUUUAAUAAACUAUCCCAGCUGGGUGACCUGAAAAGGGCAGCAAUGCACUUUGUCACCAUUCAAGAGGUAAGGAGUCCCAACUGAAAUCAUCAGGAAAGAUAAGCUACUCACUGACUUGUCCUCUCCGUGGAUUAUGGUGGUUUCCUGGCAGGUUUUGCACCCUUGGUUUGCAGAUAGAGUACUUUAACCUCUACGUUCAUUAUAGACUUCUCCCCUUUUGUCUGUGAUUUUGCCUCUUGUCAUUUUAUAAGGAUCUGAUCUAUAUCAGAUGAGACCUGUAUUAGUUACUUUUCCUGGUGACUAAGUACGUGACAGUAAGUAAAUUAAACAAGAAAGGGUUUAUUUGGGGUUAUAAUUUAAGAAGAGAUGUUGUCUAUUAUAUUGGGGAGUGUAGAGCAGCAGGAAUGUAAGGUAUCCACAUUCAGAAGUACAGAGUCAGCAGUGGCUUAAGCUAUUCAAUCUCAAAACCUGAUCCUAGUGCCCUGUGUCUUCCAGAGUGAACUACAUCCUAAAGUUCCACACCUUCCCAAAGAGUCCAACCUACUGGGAAACAAGUUUUCAAACACAUAAGCCUAUGGAAGACACUUCAAAUUCAAAUCACAAGAAAGACCCAGCUUAAUAGCCUCAUCUUAACUUGAUUACAUCUGCAUAAUGUCUGUUUCCAAAUUUGGUUAUAUUCAUAGACAUCAACAUAACUUUUUGAGGAGGAGGGACAAAAGAAAUGUACUGGCCAUAUCUGAACUGCUUCAAGUGUGAAGCCCAAAUUUGACAGCACAACUGGAGUAGCAAGGUGCUUGGUUAAUGUGCUUGUUAUAAUAGUCUAUGAAGGUUUACAUGGGGUAUCAUAUUCUAAGGCUAUACAACUGAAGUUGUUUUUCCUUGUGCUCAGUGCUAACUAGAAACAUAGGUAAGUACAUUCACUCACAUUGGGGGAUUUACUGCUAAAAGGGGUACAACUCUAUGAUUACCAAGCGCACAAGGCUUUAGAAUCACAGCCCCACUGGUAAACAGCUCAGAGCCUGAAUGUGUUAUCUUUCUGAAGAAGUAUCUAGUGCGUGUUCUGUAUCAAGCAAAUAAAAUUUCUAUGUCUCUUCCUUCA
This is a long non-coding RNA of Mus musculus (house mouse), 2220 nucleotides long. RefSeq annotates it as predicted gene, 31905. The transcript has 2 exons. NCBI's taxonomy places the organism in Eukaryota, Metazoa, Chordata, Mammalia, Rodentia, Muridae. The record is from RefSeq and is a predicted model, not a curated record.